UUUGUAUUUUUAGCAGAGAAGGGGUUUCACUGCAUUAGCCAGGAUGAUCUCGAUCUCCUGACCUCAAGUGAUCCGCCCGCCUCGGCCUCCCAAAGUGCUGGGAUUACAGGCGUGAGCCACCGCGCCCGGCCAAUUUCUAAGGCUCCAUUAGGGCUAAGGUUCAUGUAUCCAUGGUGAAGUAUAGAAGAACUCAGAAUCGUUCCAAACAUAAUGGGCUUGGAGUAAUGGAGAACUCCAAGGGCAGGAGGUAACCAUUAAAGAGGACCAUCAUGUAGUGUGAGGAGUCAACAUUUCACACUAGAAAGCCCUUGGUUCAAGUUUUGUCUCUGCCACCUACAGAUUUUGUAACCCUGAGGAAACUAGCUACCUCUUUAUGUACUGCCCUAUGGAGAGGCACACAUGUCAAGAAACUGAGGGAGUGCCUUCCAGUCAACAGCCAGCCAGGAACUAAGGUGCUCAGUACAGCAGCCUCCACAAAGGACUGAACAAUGCCAACAGCUAUUUGACUGUGCUUGGAAGAUCUCCGUUUAGUUAACCCUUCAGAUGAGACCGCAGCCCUGGCCAGCAAACAAAUUGCAGCCUAUGGAAAGACCUUAAGGCAGAAGCACCCAACUGAACCACCCGAGGGCUCUGACUUACAGAAACUGUGAGCAUAUAGUGAAAUGGCCUCUACCUUAUUUUGAAUGGAUUUCUGGGAUAAAGUUCUUCAGUGAUAACAUGUUUGAAGACACUGAAGGAAUUAACCAGAAAGAAAAGAAGAGAAGAAGGAGAAGAAAGAAGAAGAAGAAGAAGGAGAAGGAGAAGGAGACGAGGGAAGAGGGAGAAGAGAGAGAAGAGGGAGGAAAAGAAGAAGAAGAAGAAGAAGAAGAAGAGGAAGAAGGGGAGGAAGGAGAAAGGAGGAAGGAGGAGGAGGAGAAGAAGAAGAGGAGGAGGAAGAAGAAAAUGUGAGUGCAUGAGAGUCUAACAUCUUGGCGUCUCUGUAAAAAUGGGUAAUUUGGCACCGUCCACCUUGUUGUGUUGUGACUUCUUAGAUAAAUACUCCCAUCUUGAUAUUUCAUUGGUGUCAAAGAGUGCAGGCUGUGGAGUUACACUUCGAGGGUUCAAAUCCCAGCUCUAUUUAGAAUUUGGACAACUUAUUAGACUUCUGUGCUUAGUUUUCCCAUAUGCCAAAUGGGGUACCCUUCAUAACUAUGAAUCAUUUAUUGUACAAGCUCCCAGAAUGGUGGGCAGGGCAUGAUAAAGUUGGUACGGACUCUAUAAAU
Molecule: long non-coding RNA, 1262 nt
Filed under: Homo sapiens (human)
Lineage: Eukaryota; Metazoa; Chordata; Mammalia; Primates; Hominidae
Description: HSALNT0233941
Source: RNAcentral